AUAGCAACACUACCAUUUUGAUUUAUAGUGAUUCGCCUGAGAAAAUAAUUUAUACAAACAUAAAAUCAUAAUGUAUUUUUCUUGCUGUUAGAUUUUACACUUACUGCACAAGUGAGUGUAAAAGCAGAUACUGAAAGAUGGGGUGCGCUAAACUUAUCGCAAUAAGAAGAAGGAAGCGUUUGCGACACGAUAUCAAGAUCACCAGUCUAUCUAGUCAUGUCCGUCUGACUAUCCGUCCAUGUGAAAGGGUGGAUCUCGGAAACUAAAAAAGCUAUAAUAUUGGGACUAAGCAUGCAAGUUCAAUAAAUUUUAAAAAUUUGGAUGGUGCCAAAA
Long non-coding RNA from Drosophila biarmipes, 333 nucleotides. RefSeq lists it as uncharacterized. The transcript has 2 exons. The record is from RefSeq and is a predicted model, not a curated record. Lineage: Eukaryota; Metazoa; Arthropoda; Insecta; Diptera; Drosophilidae.